GACAGAGGGUGCAAACGUUGCUCGGAAUCACUGGGCGUAAAGGGCGUGUAGGCAGGGAAGGAAAGUCGGGCGUGAAAUCCCUGGGCUCAACCCAGGAACUGCACUCGAAACUUCUUUUCUUGAGUGCCGGAGAGGAAAGCGGAAUACCUGGUGUAGAGGUGAAAUUCGUAGAUAUCAGGUGGAACACCAGUGGCGAAGGCGGCUUUCUGGACGGUAACUGACGCUGAGACGCGAAAGCGUGGGGAGCGAACAGG
RNAcentral lists this ribosomal RNA (254 nucleotides) under uncultured bacterium. RNAcentral describes it as "partial 16S ribosomal RNA". It matches the Rfam family "Bacterial small subunit ribosomal RNA", at positions 524 to 776 of the family's 1533-position model. The record is from RNAcentral.